CCCGCCGCGAGCCCCUCCCUUCUCUUCGUGCCGCCGGCCGUCGCGGCGACGCAGAGUGGCCCAGAUGCGGCCACCCCGUGGUUGGCCUCGACGAGCACGGCCUCGAUCCGGCCUCGGCAGGAAGACCUCGAGCCAAGGAGCGCGGCCUCGAUCGGGUCUCGGCAUCUGGGGCGGCGACGGAGGAGGGGAAAGGAGGGGAGCAGCAGCCAGCAUCGGGACAGUGGCGGCGACUUGACUCCAUAAGCUGGUCGAGGUGGUUCAAGUAAGGCCGGUGGUGGGGUCAAGGGGCAGGGGAGGCGGGCGAAGAGGAUAAGAAGCAGCCGGCCCGUCGCGAUGGUGUGAGGCUGCAGGGAAGAGGAAGGAGGAGGACGACGGGGUGAAUGAGUAGGUCAGCCCUCAUGGAGACGGCGCCGCCGGCCAGGGGCGCUGUUGGCGCGCUGGACGUCGUCCUUCUCAACCCGUGCUCGCCUCCCCUCGCUUCUGGCGCCCAGGAGCUCGAGUAGGAAGAGGAGACCUCGAUGGCCUGCGGCUCGCGGAGACCCGCGCAUCCUCUAACCUCGACAAGAUCAGGUCAGUUUAUUUUCUUCCUCUUUGCACACCAGUCCAGGUAGAGGUGGCACGGUGGAGCAGGCAUCAGACCAAGUUUAGAACGGACCAACCCUUGCUUUUGUAGAAAUUUUGCCCCCAUAGUUAGUGUAUAGCGGCUGGAGACAAAUGAUGUUUUUCGUCAUUUGAACUAUUCGAUACAUGCUCCAAUUACCAAACGAAUGGGCAGGCAACGGCCAUUUGAUUAGUUAUGUUACAUACAGCUAUGAAUGCCCAACAGGCAGUGAGUCCAAGAGCUCUGUCAGAUGUUCAUUGCAUAUAUCCAGUGCAAAGAAUGAUACAGAAUUUGCAAACCGAAGCAGGCGCCAAAAUGAUUAAGUCCCUGAUUGGGUUUAGAUUGCGCAUAUCUGUAACAUAAAUAUUAAGUGACAUAUGAUGCAUUAUUUGAAGUAUGAUAUGCCAAAACCUAUACCUGGGCUAAUAUACCAUGGCUUCCAUGGAGUUUGAUGUAGAUUAGUAAAUGGCCGUGUGCCCACAUAUGCUUUCUUUAGAAUGUAUGUUAUCUGAUUUCCAAGAAUUUCCUGAAAGUAGAUUUGAUAUCCUCCUUACAUGUUCAGUGUUCAUUUCUGAAAAAUUGUUAACAGGAGAAUUUAGUGUCUCACUUUUAAUCUAAGUGAUAGAAAACACUGCUUGUUAAAGUAAUCUUAGUUAGACAAUGAUUUACCUAAAUAACUAACUUACUCAUGAUAAUAGCUUCGUUAUUUAAUCUGAAUAUCUGAUUGUGCUUCUAAGCAAAAUACUAUAAAAGUGCAAUUAUUUUCUUUUUAUUGCAUCACUCUUGCCAGUAUUAAUUGUGGGUUAGUGGAGCGCUAAACUUUUGUAUUUUAUAGCUUCGAGAUAUAACUUUUUUUUGUUUCUGAACAAAUAUAAAUUUUAUGUGUUGCAGGCAAUUCCUUUCAAUCCAUGGAACAGUGUGUGCGUUAGGCGAUAGCAAGGCCGUCGGACAAUCAUGAUGCUAUUUUCUUAUUUGAAAUCAGAAUGCUACUAGGACAUUCUUAAUUUUGGAAAAUCAGAUCAAACAGGAGAUAUGAUUGGUACCUGGUGAUACAAUUGGAGAAAGGGAUAUGAUAUGUCUGGCAAUGGUUUAGGAAGGUAUUCACUUAUCCGAAACAAAAGCAUAGAUACAAUUGGUGUUCAGAUUGUUAGGGACGAGGAUCAUCAGUGGCCAUGCAGGAGCAACAACAGGAGAUCAUGCCCAGUUCGUGAAUUUAUUCUCCUAGCUUGGAGGCUUCCUGCUCAAGGAGGGAGCAGCAGGCAUAGAAGAAAUCCCAAGCCAAUUUUGCUCAGCUGUAGCAUCUUCCACUGAUAAUAAGUCUGCACAGCAGCCUGGUGAGGUUGAUGUUCUUGCUCAGUAUAAGCCAACAAUGGAGAAAUUGACCAAGCUAUGUUUCAUGAUCAGUUACAGACCAAGCCUAUCUUUUUGCUGCUUCUACAUGUUGCUAUGAUGGUCAUUCAGCCCAUUUUCUUGAACGUGCACUACAACGAGAGAUCUGGGCUGCUUCUUUGUGGCUUCCAAACUUAAAGUGUUUGUUUGGAAGUUAGUUUAGUUUUUUGUUGUGGAUUCACAGCUUCUCACAUGUACCGUCCUCUUAGACCUUUAGAUUUUCAAAGAAACUAAAUGAAGAUAUGGUGGUAUGGUCUCAAUAGUACAACUUAAAGCCUUCCAUGCUUUAUAUUUUGUCUGAAAUUUGCUCUGGAAGAAUCAUGUAUCUAUGUUAGAUCCGAUGAGAAAAGGCGGCUUCCAAGCA
Non-coding RNA from Aegilops tauschii subsp. strangulata, 2354 nucleotides. The record is from RefSeq and is a predicted model, not a curated record. Lineage: Eukaryota; Viridiplantae; Streptophyta; Magnoliopsida; Poales; Poaceae.